GUGGAUUAGAUACCCGGGUAGUCCACGCCCUAAACGAUGUCUACUAGUUGUCGGGACUUAAUUGUCUUGGUAACGCAGCUAACGCGUGAAGUAGACCGCCUGGGGAGUACGGUCGCAAGAUUAAAACUCAAAGGAAUUGACGGGGACCCGCACAAGCGGUGGAUGAUGUGGAUUAAUUCGAUGCAACGCGAAAAACCUUACCUACCCUUGACAUGGCAGGAAUCCCGAAGAGAUUUGGGAGUGCUCGCAAGAGAACCUGCACACAGGUGCUGCACGGCUGUCGUCAGCU
Molecule: ribosomal RNA, 289 nt
Filed under: uncultured bacterium
Lineage: Bacteria
Description: partial 16S ribosomal RNA
Rfam family: Bacterial small subunit ribosomal RNA
Source: RNAcentral